CACCCAAACCCUUUCUCCCCUCACACGCACUCUUCCUCUUCCCGCUCUAGGCCUCUACCGUGAGUACCUAGCCCGAUGGUGCCACAAUCAUUCGCAUCGGCCUUGCCGACCUCAUCGCUACAACCAAUCUCAUCGCCUCCUUAAGGCCUUCGAUGCUGUCGAUGGUGUGGACUUUCCAUGCCCUCACCUCCCUCCCCAACCUCUCCUCAUCGGCCUUGCUCACCUCCGAUCCAUCUUCUAUUGGGAAUAGUA
Molecule: long non-coding RNA, 252 nt
Filed under: Elaeis guineensis (African oil palm)
Lineage: Eukaryota; Viridiplantae; Streptophyta; Magnoliopsida; Arecales; Arecaceae
Description: long non-coding RNA (EGUI_LNC066034)
Source: RNAcentral